Molecule: long non-coding RNA, 702 nt
Organism: Alligator mississippiensis (American alligator)
Lineage: Eukaryota; Metazoa; Chordata; Crocodylia; Alligatoridae
Exons: 2
Source: RefSeq, a predicted model, not a curated record
UGUUUACCUUCAAUAAAAAGAAAAAUUAAUGGAAUUAAUAAUAUAUGGUACCUAGCCAUCACAUACAAUUAAAAUACUCAUAUGUUGAAAUAUCUUCAAAUAUUUGUUGCUGGGUACUUGAGCUUAAAGCUGUCACAGCAGAAAUACCUGAGAGCUCUUCUGAAUUUCAUUUGGACAGUGGCAAUCCAUAAGAAGAGAGUCAAGGAUGUGAUCCCUUCAGGCAGUACCAUCAAAAGCAGCAAGUGAGGACUAUCUUGCCCAAAAUAAUGUAGGAAAAACAGCAGUUUUCCCAUACUGAUGAUGCACACAAGACUCCACAAAAACACGUUUUUAACAUAAUUUUUCUUUUUAAAAAAUGUCUCUGAAUAUUAAAAAUGCUCACUUUCUCAAAAUAUUAAGGAUGAACUCCAAAUAGAAAGGAAGAUGUUUUCAGAAUUUUUUUAAAACUUUGAGCUUAAAAAAGCUCGACAUUACUAAUAUUUCUUUGUACCUCUACUAACAUCACAAAAGAUUUCAAAAUCCACAAUUUUUUUACAUUGGUUUGUGUACAUUUUCAAAGGCAGAAAUAGUAUCUCUUUGUUUACAAAACAAGCCACAAGUCUUCAUCAUGUAUAGGAACAAAAGCAUUCCAACACCAUUUCAGUUCAUGUACAUUUGUCUUUUGAACCAAUGUAUAAAACUUUAUGCAAACCCUCCCCCUCC